UACGUAGGUGGCAAGCGUUGUCCGGAUUUACUGGGCGUAAAGAGCGCGCAGGCGGUCGUUCAAGUCGCGUGUGAAAGCCCCCGGCUCAACUGGGGAGGGUCACGCGAUACUGAUCGACUCGAAGGCAGGAGAGGGUAGUGGAAUUCCCGGUGUAGUGGUGAAAUGCGUAGAUAUCGGGAGGAACACCAGUGGCGAAGGCGCCUUGCUGGCCGAUUUCUGACGCUGAGGCGCGAAAGCGUGGGGAGCAAACAGG
This 253-nucleotide ribosomal RNA is filed under the name uncultured bacterium. RNAcentral describes it as "partial 16S ribosomal RNA". It matches the Rfam family "Bacterial small subunit ribosomal RNA", at positions 524 to 776 of the family's 1533-position model. The record is from RNAcentral.